UCUCGAUCCACGUCGUGAUGGUUCGGCCAUUUGCAAUAAUUAAUCUGGAUGUAACUCAAAAACACAAUUCUUGAAAACUGAUUUUCAAGAGAAUAAACACGAUUGUGAGCACGUCUAAUGGUCGAUGAGGCCCAAACUUUCACAAUACCCCCAAAUACCACAAUAAGGCUCUGAUACCACUUGUUGUGCGCCGAAAGCGGAACAAAUGUACUCACAACACCAAAGUUACUCAAGACAUACAAUAUGACACUCAAAACUUGAUGAUUUCAACAGCAGAAAGAAUGGCAUUAUAUAGCCUUGUGCUAAACCUAAAGAUAAACUAACAAGCCUAAAAAGACCUUGAGAAUAGGUCUUGGUCCUAGAGAAUAGGGCUUAUGACAGUGUUCAACAGAUUAUGUUUCAAUUAU
This is a non-coding RNA of Cucurbita pepo subsp. pepo (vegetable marrow), 407 nucleotides long. Lineage: Eukaryota; Viridiplantae; Streptophyta; Magnoliopsida; Cucurbitales; Cucurbitaceae. The record is from RefSeq and is a predicted model, not a curated record.